This 452-nucleotide ribosomal RNA is filed under the name Veillonella dispar. RNAcentral describes it as "bacterial SSU rRNA". It matches the Rfam family "Bacterial small subunit ribosomal RNA", at positions 28 to 457 of the family's 1533-position model. The record is from RNAcentral. Lineage: Bacteria; Bacillati; Bacillota; Negativicutes; Veillonellales; Veillonellaceae.
GACGAACGCUGGCGGCGUGCUUAACACAUGCAAGUUGAACGAAGAGCGAUGGAAGCUUGCUUCUAUCAAUCUUAGUGGCGAACGGGUGAGUAACGCGUAAUCAACCUGCCCUUCAGAGGGGGACAACAGUUGGAAACGACUGCUAAUACCGCAUACGAUCUAAUCUCGGCAUCGAGGAUGGAUGAAAGGUGGCCUCUAUGUAUAAGCUAUCACUGAAGGAGGGGAUUGCGUCUGAUUAGCUAGUUGGAGGGGUAACGGCCCACCAAGGCGAUGAUCAGUAGCCGGUCUGAGAGGAUGAACGGCCACAUUGGGACUGAGACACGGCCCAGACUCCUACGGGAGGCAGCAGUGGGGAAUCUUCCGCAAUGGACGAAAGUCUGACGGAGCAACGCCGCGUGAGUGAUGACGGCCUUCGGGUUGUAAAGCUCUGUUAAUCGGGACGAAAGGCCUUC